CCUACGGGAGGCUGCAGUGGGGAAUAUUGGACAAUGGGCGAAAGCCUGAUCCAGCCAUGCCGCGUGUGUGAAGAAGGCCUUCGGGUUGUAAAGCACUUUCAGUGGGGAAGAAAGCCUUGGGGCUAAUACCCUCGAGGAAGGACAUCACCCACAGAAGAAGCACCGGCUAACUCCGUGCCAGCAGCCGCGGUAAUACGGAGGGUGCGAGCGUUAAUCGGAAUUACUGGGCGUAAAGCGCGCGUAGGCGGUCUGAUAAGCCGGUUGUGAAAGCCCCGGGCUCAACCUGGGAUCGGCAUCCGGAACUGUCAGGCUAGAGUGCAGGAGAGGAAGGUAGAAUUCCCGGUGUAGCGGUGAAAUGCGUAGAGAUCGGGAGGAAUACCAGUGGCGAAGGCGGCCUUCUGGACUGACACUGACGCUGAGGUGCGAAAGCGUGGGUAGCAAACAGGAUUAGAUACCCCAGUAGUC
Molecule: ribosomal RNA, 465 nt
Filed under: Vreelandella stevensii
Lineage: Bacteria; Pseudomonadati; Pseudomonadota; Gammaproteobacteria; Oceanospirillales; Halomonadaceae
Description: partial 16S ribosomal RNA
Rfam family: Bacterial small subunit ribosomal RNA
Source: RNAcentral